This 374-nucleotide ribosomal RNA is filed under the name uncultured organism. RNAcentral describes it as "partial 16S ribosomal RNA". It matches the Rfam family "Bacterial small subunit ribosomal RNA", at positions 527 to 896 of the family's 1533-position model. The record is from RNAcentral.
GUAGGUGGCAAGCGUUGUCCGGAAUUAUUGGGCGUAAAGCGCGCGCAGGCGGUUCGUUUAAGUCUGAUGUGAAAGCCCACGGGCUCAACCGUGGAGGGUCAUUGGAAACUGGAGAACUUGAGUACAGAAGAGGAAAGCGGAAUUCCACGUGUAGCGGUGAAAUGCGUAGAGAUGUGGAGGAACACCAGUGGCGAAGGCGGCUUUCUGGUCUGUAACUGACGCUGAGGCGCGAAAGCGUGGGGAGCAAACAGGAUUAGAUACCCUGGUAGUCCACGCCGUAAACGAUGAGUGCUAAGUGUUAGGGGGUUUCCGCCCCUUAGUGCCGCAGCUAACGCAUUAAGCACUCCGCCUGGGGAGUACGGCCGCAAAGGCUG